AGGAUAGUCAUAGAUGAGAGAAAUACAAAAAGUUAGAGUGAUGUUAAGGGGAGUAGCAAGGUGGCUCAGUGGGUAGAGGAGGAGGCCUGGUGUCAAGAGGACCUGGGUUCAAACCUGGUCUCAGACACUUCCUACUGUAUAACCCUGAGUGAGUCACUUGACCUCCAUUGCCCAGUCCUUGCCGUUCUUCUUCCUUGGAACCAAUACACAAUAUGAUUCAAAGGUACACGAAUGUAAACUGAUUCAAGAUUGGAAUGAUGAUGGUGAUCUGGCCUCUGACACAUAAGGUCAUGCGACUCUGGGCAAGUCAUGAAAACUAAAGGGGCUCUAAGCCGAUGAGGUCAAACUCAUAUAGAAAUAAUCUAUAUGUAAGGAUCCCGGAGUGCUCUGGGCCAUAUACGUACGGUCUAUGUAUUUGGUGCCUCUGCUUUGGGCCACUCUCUGAGACAGACAUAGAAGAUUCCAACCUUCUACACCAAUGGUAACAGUUUCUUCAGCUAGGAGUCUUCUAGAAAUGAAAUCUAAUGCUCAGUUUCUAUUUCUAUAUUAUAGUUUAUAAAAUAUUUUUCCUAGGUGAUGACAUUUGAGCCUUACAAUUAGCCCAUGAGGUAAGCAGAAAAAAUAUUAUUAAUCUCAUUUUAUAGAGGAGGAAAUGAAGGCUUAGGCUAAAAGGAUUUUUUUUUUUACCAAGGUUACUCUGUUAAUUAAGUCGCUAAACCAAGAUGGAUGGAUGAAUAAAUGAAGGAAUCAGUAAAUGAAAAAGGUAUUU
Molecule: long non-coding RNA, 769 nt
Filed under: Monodelphis domestica (gray short-tailed opossum)
Lineage: Eukaryota; Metazoa; Chordata; Mammalia; Didelphimorphia; Didelphidae
Description: lncRNA (ENSMODG00000043779.1)
Source: RNAcentral